This 58-nucleotide non-coding RNA is filed under the name unclassified sequences. Its description in RNAcentral is "pemK RNA". It matches the Rfam family "pemK RNA". The record is from RNAcentral.
AUAAUGAUACUCCUCUACGGAGCUGGCGGAGUACCCGGCAGAGGUGAGAUUCCUAUGA